RNAcentral lists this unclassified non-coding RNA (157 nucleotides) under uncultured Herpotrichiellaceae. RNAcentral describes it as "sequence contains ITS2". The record is from RNAcentral. Lineage: Eukaryota; Fungi; Ascomycota; Eurotiomycetes; Chaetothyriales; Herpotrichiellaceae.
UAAAAGUAUCAAGCUUGGCUUGUCGUUGGGCCCCUUGUCACCUGGUGACAGGUCCAAAAGAUAAUGACCGGUGUCAUAAAGACUCUAUAUGAAACGAGCUUAUAACAGCACGCAUCUAGUAGUUAUAUGGCCCGGUUGUCACCCCUUUAUUUAUCAA